UCGAGCGGACAGAUGGGAGCUUGCUCCCUGAUGUUAGCGGCGGACGGGUGAGUAACACGUGGGUAACCUGCCUGUAAGACUGGGAUAACUCCGGGAAACCGGGGCUAAUACCGGAUGGUUGUUUGAACCGCAUGGUUCAGACAUAAAAGGUGGCUUCGGCUACCACUUACAGAUGGACCCGCGGCGCAUUAGCUAGUUGGUGAGGUAACGGCUCACCAAGGCGACGAUGCGUAGCCGACCUGAGAGGGUGAUCGGCCACACUGGGACUGAGACACGGCCCAGACUCCUACGGGAGGCAGCAGUAGGGAAUCUUCCGCAAUGGACGAAAGUCUGACGGAGCAACGCCGCGUGAGUGAUGAAGGUUUUCGGAUCGUAAAGCUCUGUUGUUAGGGAAGAACAAGUGCCGUUCAAAUAGGGCGGCACCUUGACGGUACCUAACCAGAAAGCCACGGCUAACUACGUGCCAGCAGCCGCGGUAAUACGUAGGUGGCAAGCGUUGUCCGGAAUUAUUGGGCGUAAAGGGCUCGCAGGCGGUUUCUUAAGUCUGAUGUGAAAGCCCCCGGCUCAACCGGGGAGGGUCAUUGGAAACUGGGGAACUUGAGUGCAGAAGAGGAGAGUGGAAUUCCACGUGUAGCGGUGAAAUGCGUAGAGAUGUGGAGGAACACCAGUGGCGAAGGCGACUCUCUGGUCUGUAACUGACGCUGAGGAGCGAAAGCGUGGGGAGCGAACAGGAUUAGAUACCCUGGUAGUCCACGCCGUAAACGAUGAGUG
RNAcentral lists this ribosomal RNA (771 nucleotides) under Bacillus sp. PD-A10(2011). RNAcentral describes it as "bacterial SSU rRNA". It matches the Rfam family "Bacterial small subunit ribosomal RNA", at positions 62 to 815 of the family's 1533-position model. Lineage: Bacteria; Bacillati; Bacillota; Bacilli; Caryophanales; Bacillaceae. The record is from RNAcentral.